AAGGCCGUGUGCUUCUCUAAACCUCUCUGUGAAAGCUGCUACCCCUAAAAACGUUCACCAUCGUAAGCAUAAGAAGCAAUUUAUUGAGCCUGAGCCAUACCAGAAAGGCUUCCCGCCCAAAAGACGCAACCAUUCCUUUGUUCCGGUUUCAUCUUACCCGGCCACUGUAUCUUAUGAUCCUAACACAGUUGCAGAGCAACUAAAGGCUACGGAAGACUUAGUUUCAUUGUAUUUGACG
Long non-coding RNA from Perca fluviatilis (European perch), 238 nucleotides. RefSeq lists it as uncharacterized. NCBI's taxonomy places the organism in Eukaryota, Metazoa, Chordata, Actinopteri, Perciformes, Percidae. The transcript is spliced from 3 exons. The record is from RefSeq and is a predicted model, not a curated record.